AUACGGGGGGGACUAGCGUUGUUCGGAAUUACUGGGCGUAAAGAGUUCGUAGGCGGACUGAUAAGUAAGAGGUGAAAUCCCAGGGCUCAACCCUGGAACUGCCUUUUAAACUGUCAGUCUAGAGACCGGAAGAGGUUAGGGGAAUACCUAGUGUAGAGGUGAAAUUCGUAGAUAUUAGGUGGAACACCAGUGGCGAAGGCGCCUAACUGGUCCGGUACUGACGCUGAGGAACGAAAGCGUGGGGAGCAAACAGGAUUAGAAACCCUAGUAGUCC
RNAcentral lists this ribosomal RNA (274 nucleotides) under uncultured bacterium. Its description in RNAcentral is "partial 16S ribosomal RNA". It matches the Rfam family "Bacterial small subunit ribosomal RNA", at positions 523 to 796 of the family's 1533-position model. The record is from RNAcentral.